CAGAAUGGCUGAAAUAAAAAAUGAAAGUAAGAACACUCCAUCUUGGGAGAUAGAAAAUAAGGUCCCAUUGACUGCCAGUGGAGAAUGGACUUUAUCAUUUCUAACACAUUUCUGAAAGAACAACUCCGGAUGAAAAAUACGUCAUAUUACA
Molecule: long non-coding RNA, 151 nt
Organism: Tupaia belangeri chinensis (Chinese tree shrew)
Lineage: Eukaryota; Metazoa; Chordata; Mammalia; Scandentia; Tupaiidae
Exons: 3
Source: RefSeq, a predicted model, not a curated record